This 253-nucleotide ribosomal RNA is filed under the name uncultured bacterium. Its description in RNAcentral is "partial 16S ribosomal RNA". It matches the Rfam family "Bacterial small subunit ribosomal RNA", at positions 524 to 776 of the family's 1533-position model. The record is from RNAcentral.
UACGUAGGGGGCAAGCGUUAUCCGGAAUUACUGGGCGUAAAGCGUGCGCAGGCGGUUAUGCAAGACAGAUGUGAAAUCCCCGGGCUCAACCUGGGAACUGCAUUUGUGACUGCAUGGCUAGAGUACGGUAGAGGGGGAUGGAAUUCCGCGUGUAGCAGUGAAAUGCGUAGAUAUGCGGAGGAACACCGAUGGCGAAGGCAAUCCCCUGGACCUGUACUGACGCUCAUGCACGAAAGCGUGGGGAGCAAACAGG